Molecule: ribosomal RNA, 263 nt
Filed under: uncultured bacterium
Lineage: Bacteria
Description: partial 16S ribosomal RNA
Rfam family: Bacterial small subunit ribosomal RNA
Source: RNAcentral
GUCCAUGCCGUAAAUGUUGGGAACUAGAUGUGGGGGCCAUUCCACGGUCUCCGUGUCGCAGCUAACGCAUUAAGUUCCCCGCCUGGGGAGUACGGCCGCAAGGCUAAAACUCAAAGGAAUUGACGGGGGCCCCGCACAAGCGGCGGAGCAUGCGGAUUAAUUCGAUGCAACGCGAAGAACCUUACCAAGGCUUGACAUAUACCGGAAACGUCCAGAGAUGGUCGCCCCGCAAGGUCGGUAUACAGGUGGUGCAUGGUUGUCGU